Molecule: ribosomal RNA, 503 nt
Filed under: uncultured bacterium
Lineage: Bacteria
Description: partial 16S ribosomal RNA
Rfam family: Bacterial small subunit ribosomal RNA
Source: RNAcentral
AUUGAACGCUGGCGGCAGGCUUAACACAUGCAAGUCGAGCGGAGUGAUGGUGCUUGCACUAUCACUUAGCGGCGGACGGGUGAGUAAUGCUUAGGUAUCUGCCUAUUAGUGGGGGACAACAUCUAGAAAGGGAUGCUAAUACCGCAUACGUCCUACGGGAGCAGGCAGGGGAUCACUUGUGACCUUGCGCUAAUAGAUGAGCCUAAGUCGGAUUAGCUAGUUGGUGGGGUAAAGGCCUACUAAGGCGACGAUCUGUAGCGGGUCUGAGAGGAUGAUCCGCGAAACCGGGACGGAGGAACGGACCGGAGUCCUACGGGAGGGAGACGUGGGGAAGAUUGGACGAUGGGGGGAAUCCUGAUCCAUGCAUGCCGCGUGUGUGAAGAAGGCCUUAUGGUUGUGAAGCGCAUGAAGCGAGUAGGAGGCUCUUUUGGUUAAUACCCAAAAUGAGUGGACGGUACUCGCAGAAUAAGCACCGGCUAACUCUGUGCCAGCCGCCGCGGUAA